AAAAGUUUAGAAGAGAACAGUCACAAAAAUCUUCGUAGAUUGUUAGAGAUUACGAUAACACUUUCGUAGCUAGAAGAUCCGAAGCAGAUAAUGGCUUAGUAGCAAAGGAUGAUGUGUCACAAGUGUUCCCGAGGAAUGAAGACGAGCACCCGAAAUGCAAAGUCACUAUUAAACCGGACGGAACAAUUAUCAUUGAGCCAGCA
RNAcentral lists this long non-coding RNA (203 nucleotides) under Mytilus galloprovincialis (Mediterranean mussel). Lineage: Eukaryota; Metazoa; Mollusca; Bivalvia; Mytilida; Mytilidae. The record is from RNAcentral.